Daphnia carinata is the source of this 5410-nucleotide long non-coding RNA. RefSeq lists it as uncharacterized. The record is from RefSeq and is a predicted model, not a curated record. Lineage: Eukaryota; Metazoa; Arthropoda; Branchiopoda; Diplostraca; Daphniidae. The transcript is spliced from 15 exons.
GAAGCCGCGGCUCCCAUUGAUGUCAAUCGCGGAUUAAUAACUUCGUAAAGGGCCUCGUAGUGAUGGUCGUCCGCCAGAUCAUCGCCAUCGCUUUCACCUGGAUCCAGCGAUUUAAUCAAAAAGAGAUGGUCACGGAUACAAACGGAGAUCCCCCGGAAGAGGAGAAAGUUCUAGGACGAACAAAAAUUCUUUUUCUUCGUGACCGCAGAAUUGCGAAAGAUGAUGUCCGCCUGCGUGCGAAGAGAAACAAAAGAGGACAAACCUUCCAACCAGCAAGCUACUGACUGCAUUUCUAUCGUGUCUUCAACUGUGACAUUCCUCAUCGCUUGAAUGUUAUUCCUACCACCGGAAGGCGGCAGGGGGGCUGGUGGACGACAUCCGUCCAACUUGGGAGCAACUGGCUCGACUAGACCUUCAAGGGAAUUGGCCAGGCAAAUACGUGACGUGGACGACACGUACACUUGAUACGGAUCGUUGUCCUUUUGGCUGCGGGAUCGAUCCGUUUUCACGUUCCUCAUCAACGCUCCUUGGAACUCUGAAAGCUGAGCAGGGAGUGGCUGAUGGCUGAUGGAGCGGAGACGAGCCGGGAGUGGCGGUCGGGCCGGAGGCGGCCGCUUCUUGACAGAAUGUUGGCCAGCGCCAUCGUUACGGACAGACUUGGCGACGGGUUUUUCCGUCUCUUUACGCUCCAAUAGAGCGGCGGCGCUGCUGGCGUGUCGACGCAACAACAUGAUCUGUUGCGGAGACAUGUGAUCCCGAUGGAUGUAAAUCUACGCCACGCUGCCGUUGUUCGCAAUUGUAGCUGCAGCGACCCGUCUCCAAUGUCGAAUUAUGAGCGACGAAAUGAAACAUUACAACCGAUCAGGUCCGGCAGCGAACACAACGACGACCUUGGUGGGCAACACAAAAAAAUUCUGCCUGCCAGCCAACACCGACAAAUUCUUAUCCUAUGGCAACCAUAGUACGCACGGUAUACUUUCACUCUAACACAAAAAAAAACUCUCUUUUUACUGUUCUCCAGACAUGAGUCAACUUUUAGAGGUUCUGAAACCACGAUGAACCAUCGGAGGAAUGGAAAAAGGGCACCAUCUGCUUUCUUAAAAACUAUUGUUUUUCGGCUGAUGGUAAAGACAAAUCGGAUAUUACGAUGGCUACAUUUAAUUACAAGAACAUCCAGAGAAACACACAAAAGGAUGGUCACACUGGAAGGACACGACCAAAACAGAACGGAGGUAAAUUUUUUUAAGACUUUGUUUUGUUUUUCGUUGCUUGUGUGUGUUGAGCGAACGAAAAACUUUCGCUUCGGCUCUGGCGCCGAGUUAGAAACUCUCUGAGAGUGAGACACACACAAACAUACGUCCUGGCCACCAAUCUCUCGGCUCACAUACGUAAAAAGAAAACUUUCACUCCCGACGCUAUCGCCAUCUCUUGUGUGGAACUGACAAUUCGAUGGAAAAAUUGCCUAGGACCUCCUGUCCGCGCACACAUUCCUUUCAAGGACUCUAUGGCAGACUGACGUCACCCGCCUUUGUGGAAAAAAGAAAGACCUUGGUGAUGGCGCCGGCGGAAUUGAUUAGAAAAACAGAUGAUGGGCAAGCAAGAGGCAACCAAACCAGUAUAUGCCAUCUACACACCGACCCUGCAAAAGUAACCCAAAAACCGUGUGUGUACCUUUGACUUAGACAACGUCCCUGUGUGCAAAAUAACCCUGCGGGCUCUCUUGUGUUAUAAGCCGAGAUGUUAUUUUAUUUUGCCUGGCGCACCUUUUUCUACCUCAUUUCUUGCCUCUCUUGUAUACGUGUCAUUUAAACCAACUCGUUUUCCUUUUUAUUUUUAUUUUUCCUCCUGGAACACUCCCAACCGGAGCCGCGGAUGAAACCAGACCCCCCUCAAGCUAUUACAGCUAUCAGUUGGGAAAUCGCUCGAACGAAAAUCUCCGAAAAACGUUUAAAGAAAAGAAGGCGCAAACGACAAAGUACAGGAUAAUCAAUAAUUGCGGAAUCGUCCUUGGAAAGUUCAAAAUCAACCGAGAAGAUUCAAUGCUGUGAAAACACCCGCACGUUCUUGAAAAACGAGAGGGAAAAAAAUUGCGGUGGGAAGUAAUAUGGUAACUUCCGGUGGACGCCAUCACCAUAGUUUUUAUCUACGAGAGAACAGGAAUCCCACAUGUCCGCAUCUUGUUUUGUUUUUUUACCACGCAAAAAUGAAAAUGCUCCACCAAUUUAUUUUGGUUCAGUUUUAUAGUUCAUUCACGAUCUGAGCUGCGUGAUGAUGCGAGAGCUCCUAUGACUGAUUUCGACAUUCUCAGCUUUUUAUGGCGAGCUUUCAACUUGGAAAAGGUGAACAGUUUCGUCAUUCAACGAAUGCCGCGGCUUCUAAUGGCCUUCGACAAUAUCUCACGCAACACACCUGACUGUUGUUGGACAAAGCUGUGCAGCACGUUUUGGAUAGACAGAAGGAUGACAAUCGUACUGGUAAAACAACUGGAGCUCUCCGGAAUUUGUAUAGUUGAACCGAUGUGGCGACCUUGGAUUGGUGCGAAAAGAUUUUUUCGAAGACGACAAUGUACCGAAAAAGGAAACCAAGCCGUCACUAACGACGUCGUUGGAAACAAUCAACAGGGAAUGACUGCCUCGUUAAACCACAGAUGCGUAAGAGCUACCGACAACAGGAUAACUGGGUGGAGUGAAAACCGAAAAUGCACCACAAGGAAGAAAAACGAGGACUGGAUCACGCGCUAACGAGGAAUGAUACGGUCGGUAGGAGAUGGAAAAAAAGAAGAAGAUUUAGUUCCCACGAUUGUGCCAACCAACUUUUUUUGUCGACGUGUGCGGCGCUUCAGUUUUUAGCUUUUUUGGAAAUGGAUGAAAAACGGGAACGCACAAGUAGCUACAAGCUGCGCAUAUGCCUAAAAAUGGAUUGUUUCACGGCAGAGUGGUCCACAGCGAUUUACAACGUCCCACGAUCGAACAUCAAACGAGAACUGGUUCGUUGUUUUCCAUUCUCGUUCACGAAGAGGUGCAGCCGAAUUGUUUUUAAACUGCAUCCCGUUCAAAGGUCAACGGCCAGCAUUCGAAUGAGUUAGAAAGAGAACCAACAGCAAAUCUUAGGCGGACCAAGAUGACGUCAGAGAGGCUAUUCGGGGAAACAAAAACAAAAGGAAUUGCUGAAAGAGGAAAAAAAAAAGCGACCACCCUCGUGUUAUGCGGAACUACCGUACGCUGGAGAGAAAGAGAAAUUGGCUAAUCAGUAUCAGCUGUAUCGAAUUCCAAACAACAAGAGUGAGAUGAUGGCCUCCCCAUUUUUUUUUAUGUUGUUAUCUAUUCUAUACUUUCAAGGUUCUUCUAAUAAUGCUAUUAUUUAUUAUUCCCCUGUUUAUUCAAGAGCGUAUCCGCCACACAAGGCGGAACAAGCGCUUACGAAUGUUGGCCAGAUUGUCAUAUCCAACGGCCGGCUAUUGCUGCGAGCCAAAUUACAUUUCCAGGAAUUAGUGAAACAUAUUUGAUCUCUUAUCAUUAAAUUUUUCUUUUCUUUUUAUUCAUAUGCAAUCUUUUACACAUGUCAACGUUUCCUAACGGAUAGUGCGACCCAACUAAGCCACCACGAAAGUUGAGGAAAAGACAAGAAAACUCGGGAAACAGGAAGAAAAAUGGUGGGAUGGCGUGUUGAGCUUUAGAAGCGGAGAAAAAAAAAAACUGGUUGCUGGCCCUAUCUUCAUGGAUGACCUUCUUAGGGUUUGCCGCUGUUGCACUUGGCAUCUUAUAUCUUUAGCAUUUUUAUUCAAUGGGAAAAAUGGAAAGAAAAAGGAAACAAACUUACCUUGCUGGUCGAAUCACGUCAGCCAACACUCGAUGGGAAUGUUCAACUGGAAGAAUGUUCAUUUUUCACACACACACUAAAACACGGCGGUGCAGCAAAACGAGAAAGAUCCAAAUAUCUUCCAGGAGACGAACGUGAAUGGCAGUCAGCUUCUUUUACACGAAAGGAGAUGUAUAAGCAGGUUGAACGCCAGCCACACACACACGCGGUUAUCGCUGUCAAGGUGAAGUCAUUUCAUUUGCAGUCCCAACUAUAGAAACGGACCGGCUCUUCUGCCUCGGUGUGUCGUGUUUUUUUUAUAACACAUUCGAGCGACACACAACACUGUGAGAUGGGUUCCGACUCAAGAAAGGGCAUGAAACCAUGGUCUUUGCUCCUGACGACCAGGCGUCUGACAAAUCUUUCGGGCACAGUGUUUCUUGGGAGAUCCCGUCAGCUGAUGUGGGAUGUUGUUGUCUAUUGGAAUGUCACAAUUUGGAGCGCAGUCUCGUCUACCAACCAAAAUUUCGGAUAGAAGCGCUGCCCAACCAACCGCCCGCUUCACCUCCUCUUGGUCGACUGUUGAUGGCCACAAGACGUGCGCUUAGUGUUGAGCUGGCCAACGGGUGAGGCUGCUAUCCCCUUCUCUUCGAGGAAAAAGAAGGAAAAAAAAAGAGAGGUUUACUGAAAGACGGAAAGAAAAUGCAAAGGGAAUCGAAUAAAACGUACACAAGGCGAAAGAAGGAGAAGCAAAAAGGAGGAACUUCGUCCCAAAGUCGAGGUAGACGCUCUUUGGCUGGCCAGCUCUUUUCCAUCUUUCAAGAAGCUGUGGGAUACCAAAAUGAUGCAUCCCGCUCGGCCAGGGUCAACUUGAUUUUCCUUUUUUUUUAAAUUAUUAUUUACAUUUGUGGCUGCCUUUUUUUUUUCGGCUCGUGUGUAAUCGCCCACACGUUCGGGCGACCAAGAAUCCGAUACGAAAAAUUCGCGAUAUUGAAUGGCGUGCCCUGAUCAUAACUUUGGCGGACGCCUAGUCGGCCGGGCAAGAGGACGGAAGAGGUGAUGGCGAGCGAUACGGCAAGAUGCUGGUUUACAAUGGCAAAGGUCGCAUCGCAAUAGUGUUGUAUUAUAAAAUGCUCGAUGGGGAUAUUUUUUUAUGACUGGGGCCGUCGCUGUUGUUGAAUUAUUCAUCUACUCUGCCCUCUAUAAAUGUACGAGGUGAAAAGUGGGCGAUCAUCAAAAUAUACCCAAAAAUACUUAGGUUUAUUUUUGUGUUUUUACGAUGGGGACGUCGCUUAAGGUUGAGAUGCUUUUGCACGAUCUUGUAGAUGGCCGACAAAGCUCGUGGAAACGCACUCACCUGGCUCCAUUCAAAUAUUUUUCCAUACGUGCGCUGUCAUAAUGGCAUAUCGACCGAAUCUUAGCCUCCUGACAACAACAAUAAUUUUGAAACAAUUCUCGCCAAAGUGAUCGUUUCAUAGGCGGGUAAAAAAUAAGUAAACUAAGUCGAUUCGGAUGAGAAAUUCUCCGAGAAAGUUAACGAAUGUAUUACAAUGACAGUAGACACUGUAUAAAAUCACGCUUUUUCCUUUAUUGCAUAAGUUGGCCGAGGAAA